This 446-nucleotide ribosomal RNA is filed under the name uncultured bacterium. RNAcentral's name for it is "partial 16S ribosomal RNA". It matches the Rfam family "Bacterial small subunit ribosomal RNA", at positions 338 to 795 of the family's 1533-position model. The record is from RNAcentral.
CCUACGGGCGGCAGCAGUCGAGAAUCAUUCACAAUGUGGGAAACCCUGAUGGUGCGACGCCGCGUGGGGGAAUGAAGGUCUUCGGAUUGUAAACCCCUGUCAUGUGGGAGCAAAUUAAAAAGAUAGUACCACAAGAGGAAGAGACGGCUAACUCUGUGCCAGCAGCCGCGGUAAUACAGAGGUCUCAAGCGUUGUUCGGAAUCACUGGGCGUAAGGCGUGCGUAGGCUGUUUCGUAAGUCGUGUGUGAAAGGCGCGGGCUCAACCCGCGGACGGCACAUGAUACUGCGAGACUAGAGUAAUGGAGGGGGAACCGGAAUUCUCGGUGUAGCAGUGAAAUGCGUAGAUAUCGAGAGGAACACUCGUGGCGAAGGCGGGUUCCUGGACAUUAACUGACGCUGAGGCACGAAGGCCAGGGGAGCGAAAGGGAUUAGAUACCCCAGUAGUC